Molecule: transfer RNA, 72 nt
Filed under: Sphaerodactylus townsendi
Lineage: Eukaryota; Metazoa; Chordata; Lepidosauria; Squamata; Sphaerodactylidae
Description: tRNA-Ala
Source: RNAcentral
GGGAGUAUGGCACAGUGGCAGAGUAUCUAUUUUGCAUGCAGAAGGUCCCAGGUUCAAGUACAGGCAUCUCCA